UUCAAUAUGGCAGAUUAUUGCAAUGAAUUUAAGACUCAUUCAUGAAUUAUUAUUCUUUUGAAA
This 63-nucleotide transfer RNA is filed under the name Krisna furcata. Its description in RNAcentral is "tRNA-Leu". Lineage: Eukaryota; Metazoa; Arthropoda; Insecta; Hemiptera; Cicadellidae. The record is from RNAcentral.